Sapajus apella (tufted capuchin) is the source of this 311-nucleotide long non-coding RNA. RefSeq lists it as uncharacterized. The transcript has 4 exons. The record is from RefSeq and is a predicted model, not a curated record. Lineage: Eukaryota; Metazoa; Chordata; Mammalia; Primates; Cebidae.
GAACAUCCAGGACUCCAGCUUCUAUAUCUGUUCCCUCAGGUGCCGGCCCUCUCCUGGUGCCGUUCACUCUCAACUUCACCAUCACCAACCUCCGGUAUGAGGAGAACAUGCAGCACCCUGGCUCCAGGAAGUUCAACACCACAGAGAGGGUCCUUCAGGGCUUGCUCAGGCCCCUGUUCAAGAGCACCAGUGUUGGCACUCUGUACUCUGGCUGCAGACUGAUCUUACUCAGGCCUGAGAAGGAUGGGGAAGCCACUGGAGUGGAUGCCAUCUGCACCCACCGCCCUGACUCCAAAAGCCCUGGCCUGGAC